Molecule: ribosomal RNA, 494 nt
Filed under: uncultured bacterium
Lineage: Bacteria
Description: partial 16S ribosomal RNA
Rfam family: Bacterial small subunit ribosomal RNA
Source: RNAcentral
GGGGGGGGCGGGCGGGGGGCGGGGGGGGUGCGGGGCGGACGGUGGGGCGGGUGGCGGGUGGGGGGGUGGGGGGGGGUGGCGGACGGGUGAGUGACACGUGCGGAACCUGCCCCCUUCUUGUGGAUAACCGCGUGACAGUGUGGCUAAUACGGGAUAUUCUGGGUCUGUCGCAUGAUGGGUCUGGGAAAGAUAUUGUUUCGGUGUGGGCUGGGCUCGCGGCCUAUCAGCUUGUUGGUGGGGUGAUGGCCUACCAAGGCGGUGAGGGGUAUCCGGCCUGAGAGGGUGGACGGUAACACUGGGACUGAGAGACGGACAAGACUCCUACGGGCGGCAGCAGGGGGUAAUAGUGCACAAUGGGCGGAAGCCUGAUGCAGCGACGCCGCGUGAGGGAUGGAGGCCGGCGGGUUGUGAACCUCUUUCGCCAGAGAAGCAGGCCUGCCUCGUUUGUGGGUGGGUUGACGGUAGCUGGAUAAGAAGCGCCGGCUAACUACGUG